CUGGACACAGUUCCAGAUGGUUCCAUCCUGCUCUGUAAUGGCCCCUCCACACUCAGGGAACAGCUGCAGCAGGAAAACUCUGGGAAAAUGACUUUGAGGGAGGCUGCCUGAAAGAGAGGUGUGAGGGGAUGAGUGUGUGAAACAGCCCUGGGACAGCAGAGCAGGGGAGAAGAAGGAUGAGAAGGUGCUCCAUGCCUGGAGCAGAGAGCUUUCCCUGCAGCCCAUGAAGGGAGUGGGAAGGAGCAGACACUUCCCUGCCCACGACAGGGGCUUUGUGGUGGUUACUGGUCGGAAAAAGUUACAGUUCUAAUUCUCCAUUCCACUGUGAAAUGAGGAUAGAAGGCUGUAAUAGAGCACAAAUCCAGCAACAGAGCUGAGUAAUGUCCAUCCAGCACUGAAUGGAGCAGGCAGAACAGACAACAAAUAAAAGUUGUGAGAGGAAGAAAUCAGCCAGCUAUUUCACACACCACAAUUAAGGAUCAACAGCCCUUCUGCCCAGGGGAUUUCUGCUUUCAGGUUUAACAGCUGAGCUUUGGUAGAAAACCCUUUUUGUGAUGCCAGAAACUGAUCCCACUUAAGAACUGCAAAACAAUAUUUGUCCUAGAAAGGGAAAGACAGAAAGACUGGGGAGUUUUUUCCCCUUCAGGUUUCAGAGCCCUUCUGAAAACCCAGUUGCACUCAACAAAUGUCAGUGCCUUAAUUACCAGGUGAAUUCAUUUCACCAUUAGCAUGCCAUUUAGAGGUAUGCACCAUUACCUUUGCAGGCUUCAGCUUAGAAAUAAAACGUGAAUGAAAAUUAGAUGACCUAAAUAUCCUCCACAUAAAGAGAAAUGGAUGGUGCUGGGAGGUGACAGCCCAAAAAUAAGAACUGCAGUUCUGGUUCUGCAAUGAAAUGCUCUCAGCAAUGUCUCGGGGCAGACUCACCCCUGCAAGAGUGUGGCAGCAACCUGAGGGACAGAUUUAUGUCCCCAGCCUCCAAAGGCCUUCCCUCAGCACCUGAAUACAUAAAUACAUCAUAUUUAUAACUUUUAGCCUCAGAUUUACCUUUAAUAAUCUUUGCAGACCAAGAGAGAGGGAGAGAGAAAGUAGGAUUUAUGACAACAUUCACGUGAAAGCAUUGCAUUUUUAAAAAUUAUUUGGAUAAUUUACAGGCUUCAUUUUUAGUAUUAAUACUACUCAGACAUCCAAUCUUUCCUUCUUCCUUCUGUUAAAUGUUUUUACUAAAACCAGUCAAACAAAAAUAGUAAAGAAUAUGUUCUUUUGGGU
This is a long non-coding RNA of Passer domesticus (house sparrow), 1266 nucleotides long. RefSeq lists it as uncharacterized. The record is from RefSeq and is a predicted model, not a curated record. The transcript has 3 exons. Lineage: Eukaryota; Metazoa; Chordata; Aves; Passeriformes; Passeridae.